GACGAACGCUGGCGGCGUGCCUAAUACAUGCAAGUUGAGCGCUGAAGGUUGGUACUUGUACCAACUGGAUGAGCAGCGAACGGGUGAGUAACGCGUGGGGAAUCUGCCUUUGAGCGGGGGACAACAUUUGGAAACGAAUGCUAAUACCGCAUAAAAACUUUAAACACAAGUUUUAAGUUUGAAAGAUGCAAUUGCAUCACUCAAAGAUGAUCCCGCGUUGUAUUAGCUAGUUGGUGAGGUAAAGGCUCACCAAGGCGAUGAUACAUAGCCGACCUGAGAGGGUGAUCGGCCACAUUGGGACUGAGACACGGCCCAAACUCCUACGGGAGGCAGCAGUAGGGAAUCUUCGGCAAUGGACGAAAGUCUGACCGAGCAACGCCGCGUGAGUUAAGAAGGUUUUCGGAUCGUAAAACUCUGUUGGUAGAGAAGAACGUUGGUGAGAGUGGAAAGCUCAUCAAGUGACGGUAACUACCCAGAAAGGGACGGCUAACUACGUG
RNAcentral lists this ribosomal RNA (497 nucleotides) under uncultured bacterium. RNAcentral's name for it is "partial 16S ribosomal RNA". It matches the Rfam family "Bacterial small subunit ribosomal RNA", at positions 28 to 507 of the family's 1533-position model. The record is from RNAcentral.